Molecule: ribosomal RNA, 525 nt
Filed under: uncultured bacterium
Lineage: Bacteria
Description: partial 16S ribosomal RNA
Rfam family: Bacterial small subunit ribosomal RNA
Source: RNAcentral
UGGGGAAUAUUGCGCAAUGGGCGGAAGCCUGACGCAGCAACGCCGCGUGCGGGAUGACGGCCUUCGGGUUGUAAACCGCUUUCAGCAGGGACGAAGCGUGAGUGACGGUACCUGCAGAAGAAGCACCGGCCAACUACGUGCCAGCAGCCGCGGUGAUACGUAGGGUGCGAGCGUUGUCCGGAAUUAUUGGGCGUAAAGAGCUCGUAGGUGGUUGAUCGCGUCGAAAGUGAAAUCUCAGGGCUUAACCCUGAGCGUGCUUUCGAUACGGGUCGGCUAGAGGAAGGUAGGGGAGAAUGGAAUUCCUGGUGGAGCGGUGGAAUGCGCAGAUAUCAGGAGGAACACCAGUGGCGAAGGCGGUUCUCUGGACCUUUCCUGACGCUGAGGAGCGAAAGCGUGGGGAGCAAACAGGCUUAGAUACCCUGGUAGUCCACGCCGUAAACGGUGGGUACUAGGUGUGGGGGGACAUUCCACGUUCUCCGUGCGUAGCUAACGCAUUAAGUACCCCGCCUGGGGGAGUACGGCCGC